This 35-nucleotide ribosomal RNA is filed under the name Lepista sp. 2 XY-2019. Its description in RNAcentral is "partial 28S ribosomal RNA". The record is from RNAcentral. Lineage: Eukaryota; Fungi; Basidiomycota; Agaricomycetes; Agaricales; Clitocybaceae.
GUCUAUUAACUUGGACAAUCUUUGACAUUGACCUC